CCACAUACAAGUAGAGAUGCGAUACAAUUUAGUAUGAGCUUUUUAAAUUUCCUCUCAACUCCAAAAGAAAUUAAAUCAUGCAACAUAUUAGGUUAAUAGGUGAUAAACUUUCCUUUUACAGAAUAAUCAAUUGAAUUCUGGCUUUGCAAAAUGCAUAUUUCUAUAACAAUAUUUCCAUCUACUGAAGGAAAGCAUGUGUCUCUUCUACUUUCGGAGUAGCUGCACACUCUCUGGCCGAUCUCUCUUCUUUAUAUGAUCUCUCCACAUCCCGUAGGUAAUUGGUCAAGCCUUCUCUAUGUUUCACCUUGUUUUGUAAAUUUGAGGAAUCAUUUUUCCACCCGAUUGGAAGGAUUAACCGCAUGUUUCACCGUACUAUAUUCUGGUAUAAUAAGGUAGUAGAGUAUAGCAUACUAUAAUGAUAUCAAAUACAAGACCAGUUAAGGAAUUGUAAUAGUACAAAAUAUGGGCAAGAUACAAGUACAUUAAAAAAAAAUAUCAGCAAGGUAGAACAAGAUUUUUUUUUUUCUCUAUGCAACCUAUAAAGGAGAGAUAUUGUUAAUUUAAUGAAAGAAAUAGCUAUGGGAAGACAUAAAGUGAGGGUUGGAGACAUUAACUUUUUUCUGAAAAUUAUAUGUAAGCUAAAAGAAUUCACAUUGUUGAUCCCAGUUAUCAAUAACCAAGCUGCAGGUAGCAUUUUUAACCAGCCCCCUCUUUGUAUAUCUCUUUCAUUUGGCUUUUCCAACAGUAGAUACUUGCUAAGAUUCCAAGACAUUCCAAAAUGGAGUGGUCGAUAUUGAAGAACCUAAUUGUUUACAACUUCACUCUUGCUAAGAAGUCUAUUCAGGUGUAAACCAAUGUAGUAAAAUAGAAACUUUUUUUCUAUAGAAGAGGAGAAGAGGAAGGUGAAACAAAAGUAUAUAAUUUUAUCAAACACAUUUACAUGAUCAAUAUGGAUGCAUAGGCUCAUAUUUUACAAAACAUAGAGAAAAUGAACCAUCUGUUUUCUCGAUGGAAGCAUAUCUGGUGGUGUAAAAAUCAAAUACUCAGUAAGUAGUAUAGUGAAGAGUUGCCCAUAAACGUAGAGAUUAUAGGGGUAUAAUUCUAACCUUUUCUGGAAAUAAAUCAAGAGCCGCCAACAAUAACAUUCUCCUGAAUUCUAGAUGAUGGCUCAACCGGAUCCAUAGAACUUGUGCUCAAACGAAGGUGGUUACUUGUUAUUUCUUGCUUUUUGAGGCGCUUUCAGUCAUGUCGCUUUUUAUAUUUAACAACUCUUAUGCCCAACAUUCUACAUGACAUAUUUCAUAUAAUAAGAUUCAGAGGACAUGUUGGUAUAUUAUACACCUUUUUAGUUUAUAACCACAAGAUUUAAAAAUUCUUGUCAAGUCAAAACUAAGACAAACAAAUUAUAAUGGAGGCAACAUAUUUAAGAAAUUUAAAAAGAGAUGAGUAAAGAGAAAGUACUAUACUGAUGCAGACAGUAUAAGACUCAGCCACAAGAGCAGGAGGUUGAACUCGUGUUGUCUGCAGAAUCAUAACAGUCCACUGCAAUCCAAGGCAAAACAAUAGUCUUUUUCUAAUUUUUCACAUUGUCAUCUAUAAGAUUAGGAUUACUUUCACAUUUUUAUCCAAAUGAUUAGGAUUAGCUAAAAUGUGCAGUUUUAGAGAGUCAUCUAACAAUAAAACACGAAUAGAAAUGACAUUUUACACUCGUUUUUAUUUAAUAGUAAAAGAAUUUCCUGUUAGUUAGUUGUUGAUAAAAUCUAGACUGUGACAAUAUAUCUUGGCGUGGUAAGUUUUUUGGGUACUUGAUUGUUCUUAGUACAGUUUCCUAAUGAGAUUUCUUUGGCAUCUGCAUGAAUUGACUUAAGGUUUGGACUGUAAAAGUCACAUAAAGUAACUUUCCAAUCAAUUUUUGAUAGGCAUUAACAUCACAUAAUAGCUCAUCUCCUAUAAUAUUAGUUGCCUCAUCAUACUCUCUAGUAGCGAAAACUCAAGAGUAUGGAUAUGCUCCUCUGUUAUGAUUCCACUCAAAUACUUUCCUCGACUUAUAGUAAAUUUACUUGCAUUCAAGUACUUUAACUUACAUAGAAAAAUAUAAAAUAAAAUCAAAACUUGCGUGUUUGAAAGUGUGAGUUACAUGUGUUUCAAAUGGUAUUCCAAAAAGACAAUAAUUUGUCACCAAUUCUGAAAUAGGGGUCUUGUACUACAACUCUUGCUCCUAAGAUUAAAGUUAAUAAUGGGGUUUAUAUGUGUAUAUUCAUAGGAAUCAAAAUUUGAGAAAGCUUUUAUUGAAUUUGUGAACUCUUACGAAGAAGAAAAGAGAAUGCAGAAACAGAGAUCUCUUGGAAGAAUCUAGAAGAAAGCUACAUUUUAAUGUGUAUCAUGAAUUCAUUGUUUUUCUCAUUUUACAUUUCAGCCUCUAUAUAUAGAGGAUUAUAUUUGGUAUUACUAAUUAAUCUCAUAACUAACAGUGUUAACCACCUAACUAACAACAUAACAAAAGUAAAGCACGUGACUCUAACUAACUUUUGAACUGACCAAUCACAAUACAACAACUCAACUUAUCUAUAUUUCAAUACACCCCCUCAAACUGAAGGGUGGAAGACAUCUAACAUACCAAGUUUGGUCAUGAGGAGAUGAUGUUGACUAGCACCUAGCCCUUCUGUGAGGAUAUCAGCAGGUUGCAUGGUAGUGGACAAGUGCUUAAGUUCAAUGAACCCUGACUUCACCUUCUCUCGAAUGAAAUGACAAUCAAUAUCUAUGUGCUUUGUACGCUCAUGAAAUACUGGAUUUUCAGCUAUUUGGAUGGCUGAUUUGCUGUCUGUGAACACUGAGAUUGGAAUGGCACCUGGAAAGUGUAGUUCAUCUAGUAAUCCUGCUAACCAAAUUGGUUCAGCAACAAGGGUUGCCAAACUUCUAUACUCUGCCUCAGUUGAGCUCCUACUUACUAUCGGCUGCUUCUUUGAUUUCUAAGAAAUAAGAGAAUUUCCAAGUUUUACCAUGUACCAGUUACUAAUCUUCGUGUGUUUGGGCAUGAAGCCCAGUCUGAGUCACAGUAUCCUGUGAGUUUUGUAACACCAAUCCCUCUUAUAAGCAUUACUCCAAGUCCUGAAGAUUUUUUAAUAUAUCUUACAACUCUUAGUGCUGCCUCCCAGUGUGAAACCUUAGGGUUUUGCAUGAAUUUACUCAGAACCUAGACACUGAAGCAAAUCUUAGGUCUGGUAAUUGUCAAAUACAACAAUUUACCAAUCAGUCUUUGGUAUGCUGUAAUAUCUUCCAACUCUGCAUCAUCAGAUCCACCAAUGUGUUGAUCAAACUCUAUACUGGUCAAUUUGUGGUUGAACUCUUAAGGAGUGCUUACAGUUUUUGCUCCACUCAGUCCAGUCUCUAAAAUAAGUUGUAAAGCAUACUUCCUCUGAUUCAGUAAUAACCCCUCUUUAGACUUCAAGAUUUCAAUCCCCAAAAAAUAUCUAAGACUUCCCAAGUCUUUCAUCUUAAAUUUUUUGCGCAGUGUGUCUUUGGCUUCUUGAACCAUUCUGGAGUUAUUCCCAGUUAUUAAAAGAUCAUCAACAUAUACUAAAAUCACAGCCAUUUCAGUUCCUUCCUUUCUAAUGAAAAGAGAGUGAUCAUGUACACUUUGAGAGUAACCUGCUGCCAACAGUGCCUCAGUGAACUUAAUAUUCCAUUGUCUAGAUGCUUGCUUGAGACCAUAGAGUGACUUCCUCAGCUUGCACCCCUUAGAUUCCCUCUGCCCUUGGAAGCCUAUAGGAAGUUCCAUAUAAAUGUCUUCAACUAAAUCACCUUGCAAGAAGGCAUUGUUAACAUCCAUUUGAGAUAGGUCCCAACCAUAGGAAGUUGUCAAGCUAAGCACAGUUCUAAUGGUAACCAUCUUUGCAAAUGGAGAAAAAAGUGUCAUGAUAGUCAAGUCCUUCUCUUUGAGUAUAACCUUUGGCAACUAAUCGAGCUUUGUAUCUAUCCACAUCACCAUUUGACUGGUAUUUGAUCUUGUACACCCACUUUGAUCCAAUUGUUUUCUCACCUGAAGGUAAGUCAACAAUUGUCCAAGUGUUGUUAUCUUCUAAAGCCGUAAGCUCUUGUUGCAUGGCAUCAAUCCACAUCUCAUCCUGUGAUGCUUCAUGAAAAGAUUGAGGUUCCAUAGUUGCUGAAAAAGCCUGCAAAUAGGACAGAUAACCUGAGGAUACAUUAUCAUAACAGACAUGGUUAGUGAUUAGGGUUGGGCAUAAUAUGGUUAAAACAAAAAAAACAGACCGAACCGAUUUUUUUUUAAAUUUCAGUUUCGAUUAUUUCGGUCGAUUUCAGUUUCACAUUUCAAUAUUUCAGUUUUUCGGUUCGGUUUUCGGUUUUUAGCUAAAAAAAAUUAGUUAACCGAAAAAACCGAAAUAUUAUAUAUAUAUUCCUUACACCCUUAAUCAAGUUACUUCAUCCCAUGCCCCAGCCAACCCAUAGCCUACAACCCAUAUUCAAAUUAGUCCCAAAUUCCAAUAAAAAAUCCCUAAACGUAUAAUCUAAAAUCCCUAACUCAGACAACAACUCCCAUCUCUCAACUCUCGUCUCACGUCUGUCCUCAGUCAUCACUCCUCACUCGACUUGGAAUAAUCAGUUACGACUUACGUCGCAGCCCGCUAUCCCGUCGUCUCUCAAUAGUCAACUCUCAUGUCUCAUCUCUCAGUUCGUCAUCUCUUAACUCUCAUCUCUAACUCUUGCCGAGUGCUCGCAUCCCGCAACGCUUCUCAUUGGCCACCGUUCAGUGCUCGCUCGCGACUUGAAGCGUCCCAACUCUCAUAUGGAAAUCUUUAUUUUGAUGGUAAAUUAAUAAUGGAAUCUAAUAAACUUGUGGAAAACAAUACGAGAAGGCAGUAGCAGAGUAAUGUAGCACUCUAGAAGUUGAAGAGCAAAAUCUGUAAGCAUUGUUAGAGAUUCUUGAAGUGAAACAAUAAAAGAAAUUGUUAGAUACACAUUAAGAGCAAAAUCUGAUGAAAACCCAUGGCAAGAAUAUGAAAAGCAUGUAUUGGUCCUCUAUUGUUUUUUUAAUCAUUGAAUGCAAAUAUGCAGCUAUGUGAUUAUUUGUGUGAUUUGUGAACUGUAAUGUAUGACGUCUUUCUGUAAUUAAGUUAUUUAUAGGCAACUCUGUUGACAUUUGUGUUAAAUAAGUAUUCAUGAAGUAGUGUUGAGUCACAAGUGUUUAAUGUCUAUCAUCUUUUAGAGUUUUAGUUACUGUUAGUGUACAUCUGUAAGCAUGCUUGUGGCUAUUUUCCGGUGGAUUUGUAUGUAGAGGACAUCAAAGCAUUUGAUUCUAAUGAGGCUUACGGUAAAUUAGUGACUACUAUCCAUCCUUGAUAAGUAUAAAUAAAUUAACUUUUUUUAAUUUUUGCCCCUGUUAAUUAAAUUUGGUUAAACCGAAAAUCAAAUCGAACCGAUUUUAUUUCAAUUCGGUUUGGUUUCACAAUUUUUCCAAAUCGAAAACCAAAACAUUGAACCGAAAUAUACAAACCGAAUUGAAUCGACCGAACGCCCAGCCCUAUUAGUGAUUGAGUAAGGACUGGACUUUUUAGGCACAACAUAAUCUUUCAUCCACACAGGAGGCUUGCACUGUCUGGUAGUCUUCCUUGAACCAACAUUAAUUGGUGGUUCAUCAACAGGAGGUGGAGGAGUGUCUGCAUUCACAUAUUCUGUGGGAAGUGGCUCUAUUGGACCAACCUCAGGAGGUUCAUCAUGAGAACCUUCCUGAUCAUCAGUGGUAUUAGGAAGCUCUUCAACAUGUGUAUGGCAUGGCUCUGCAGGAGAUGAACAUGUUGGGAGAACUUGGUCUAUGUUUACAUCAUUGUUGGCAUCAUCUACAGUAUCUAGGAAAGGUGAAAGCAAGGGACAAGGACCUGUAUCAUUAGAUUGCAUAACUUUAAAAGGACACACUGCCUCUCUGAACACAACAUCCCUGCUAAUGAACACAACUUUUGCCUCAAGAUCAUAUAGCUUAUAUCCAAUAUUCUGUGUGAAAGAAAACCCCAACAAAACAGCUUUCUUAGCUCUGGCUUCAAACUUUUCACCUCUUGGCAAAACAGUAGCAAAACAUAAACAUCCAAAUACUCUUAUAUGUUCUAGUCUAAGAGCCUUUCCAAAUAGCCUUUCAUAAGGAGACUGUCCAUUUAACACAACUGUAGGCAACCGGUUAAUUAAGUAAACUGCAGUGUGUACACAUUCACCCCAAAAUCUACUAGGAAUAUGAGAUUGCAUUUUUAAAGCUCUACUUGUGUCCAGUAUAUGCCUAUGUUUCCUUUCAAUAAUACCAUUUUGUUGUGGAGUAUAUGGACAACUACUUUUAUGUGUGAUGCCUAAAGAGGAUAACAAUUCAUUUACUUGAUUGUUAAAGCACUCAGUACCAUUGUCAGAUCUCAACACCUUUAUUGCACAAUCGAACUGAUUACAAACCAUUGAUAAAAGCUUCUCAAUACAACUAUUACAUCCUUCUUAGUUUGCAGUAAAGAAAUCCAUGUAAAUCUGCUAAAGUCAUCAACUACAGUCAGAAAAUAAUGUUUUCUAUCAUAAGUUGGAUCUCUAUGAGGUCCCCAAACAUCUAGAUGUACCAGUUGAAACAUCUUAGUAGUAUGAGUAACACUAGAAGGACACUUGAGUAUACACUAUUUUUCCAAAGGGGAAACCAUACAAUCUUCAUGUACUGCCUCAACCAGUUUAUUUUGCAACAUAGGUAGAUGUUGCAAUACUUUCAAAGAGGGAUGUCCCAAUCUAAGAUGCCAAAGUUUAUGUUCUUCUGAGUUCUUGCUUUUGAGUACUGCUCCAACAGUAGAUAGUACUUCUUGUCUGAGAAUAUACAAGCCAUCAUUUUCCUUACCAAUCCCAAUCACCUCUCCAAUAAAGAGAGCCUGCAUUACACAUAAAUCAGGAUAGAAAGACACCAUGCAUUUCAGAUCCUUAGUCAGUUUAGAGACUGACAAUAAGUUGAACUUGAAGUCUGGUACAUGUAAAAUAUUUUUUAACUUGCAUUCCCCAAAAUCACUGCAUCUCCUACAUGUUCUACAUGAAUUUUAUUUCCUGUUGGCACCUGCACCUUAAUACAACUGGAUUCUGAUAAUUUUCUAUAUUCACUCAACAUACUUUCACAAUAUGUAAUAUGAUGUGUAGCUCCUGAAUCAACAAUCCACCUUCCUGUAUUUCCACCAACAUUAUCAGGCAAAGGAUUCAUACCUGCUGCAACAUUGGCAUCAGCCCUACAGGUUCCUGUAGGUGAGGGAGGAGGCAGCAUCUUAGUGACUUGCUUAUAUUUCUCCUUUGUGAAAUAACCUCCUUGGAAAUAGAAUUUUGAUGCUGAUCCAGAUCCUGAUGCCUCAGAAAUGGAGUUAUUUGCAUAUGCUGAUCCAGAUCCUGAUGCUUCAGAAGUGGAGUUAUUUGCAUAUGCUUCAUUCAACGAUCCAGAUCCCUUUCUCUUACUCUUGAAGUCUGCUGGAAAUCCUACAAUUCAAUAACAAUUUUCUCUGGUGUGACCUUUGUAACCACAAUGAUCACACACUAGUCCCAUCCUUCUGCUUUGUGAAUUCUGACCCUGAGUCUUCUUAGCUGGAAAAUUGUUGUUGAUCUGAUUGUUGAAAUUAUGUAGUUGAGCACCUCUUCCUGCCAUCAUUGUCAAAAGUUUUUUACCUCCUUCUGACUGUCCUAGCUUCCUUUGGCUUUCUUCCUGUAUAGCCAUUGCAUAGGCUUGAUUUACACUUGGAACAGAUGGACUCAACAGAAUAGAACUCCUCACCUGAGCAUAGUUCUCAUUCAAACCUACCAAAAACUGCAAUAACCUUUGUUGUUUAACAUGUUCAACAUGUGAGCUUGACUCAACACAAUCACAAGAUGGAGAAGGCACCGUCACAUCCAUCUCAUCCCAUAGAUCUCUCAUUUUGGAGUAAUAAGCUGUCACAGAAUCAGUUCUUUGUGACAAUAUACUAAUCUUUUUCCAUAAGUGAAAAAUCCUUGUCAAACUGGACUUAUCAAAUCUCUCCUUGAAGUCAUUCCAGAUCUUCUUCGAACUAGAAGCAUAUACUAUGCUAGUCAUUAACUCUGGUGCAACUGUUGCACUUAUCCACGACAAAAUAACGACAUCACACCUUUCCCAUCUGACUGCCAGAUCUCCCUUGUAUGAGCUCUUAGCACAUGUGCCAUCAACAAAUCCCAGUUUGUUUUUGACUAGUAGUGCUAAUCGCAUUGACCUGCUCCACACACCAUAGUUUUCUGGCCCUAUGAGCUUCAUAGGAAUCAAGGCAACACCAGGUGCGUCUGAUGCUUGAAGAUGAAGUGGAUGAUUAUGAUUCGUCUAGGGAUUAUCUUCUACCUCUGAACUCUGUGAUUCCACCAUUGCUACAGCUUCAACAAUUACAGAAAUUACAGAUUCAAAUCUUUAAGGAAUCCCUUGAUCAAUGCUCUGAUACCAUAUUGAAUUUGUGAACUCUUACGAAGAAGAAAAGAGAAUGCAGAAACAGAGAUCUCUUGAAAGAAUCUAGAAGAAAGCUACAUUUCAAUGUGUAUCAUGAAUUCAUUGUGUUUCUCCUUUUACAUUUCAGCCUCUAUAUAUAGAGGAUUAUAUUUGUUGUUACUAAUUAACCUCACAACUAACAGUGUUAACCACCUAACUAUCAGCAUAACAAAAGUAAAGGACGUGACUCUAACUAACUUUUGAACUGACCAAUCACAAUACAACAGCUCAAUUUAUCUAUAUUUCAAUAGCUUUCUAUAAUAUUAAGUUAUGUAAUUGCGUUUCACAGUAGGGCUGGUUCAUAUAAGUCAAUUGAAGCCUCAUCAUAAGAUUAGAGAAGUAUAUGGCUAAAAACUAAGAGAGAUCCUUUUAGUCGAGAAAAGAAUCAUUUUUAUUUAGUUGUUCAUCGGAAAAACUCAAGAGUACGAAUAUUUCCCUACGUUAUGAUUCCACUUAAAUAUUUUCCCCAUUUUUUGGGGCAAUGACAGAGUUCAAACUCCCUGUUAUGAUCCUACUUAUCCCACUUAAAUACUUUCCCCGACUUUCAAUCUGCUAAAUCUUAUAUUAUACUAAUUCACUCUUCAUUCAUUCCAUAGUUUUGUUGAAUAUAUUGUAAUAUUCAUUCUUCCAAGUGUUCAGGUUGGAUUCUAUAAACAAUAGAACAAUCAUUAGUGCACAUAAAGUGAUUAGUAUGUACUUACUGCACAUCACAUAAUAACUCAACUCUUAUAGUAUUAGUUGCCUCAUCAUAUAUACUCCCUAGUGUGAAAACUCGAGAGUAUGGAUAUGCCCCUCCAUUAUGAUUCAACUCAAAUACUUUCCCCAACUUAUCCGUUAUGAUUCAACUCAAAUACUUUCCCUAACUUAUCCGUUAUGAUUCAACUCAAAUACUUUCCCUGACUUAUAGUAAAUUUAAUUGCAUUCAAGUACUUCAACUUACAUAGAAUAAUUUUUUUUUUUAAAUUAAAAACUUGCGUGUUUGAAAGUGUGAGAUGCCGAUGUUUCAAAUGGUAUUCCAAUAAGACAAUAUUUUGUCACCUAUUCUGGAAUAGGGGUCAUGUACUACAACUCUUGCACCUAAGAUCAAAGUUAAUGAUGGGGUUUAUAUGUGUAUAUUCAUUGGAAUCAAAAUUUGAGAAAGCUUUCUAUAAUAUCAAAUUCUGAAAUCGCGUUUCACAACAGGGCUGGUUCAUAUACUUCAAUCUUGAAGCAUGGGAGCUUUUUAAGAAGUCAACUUGAAGCCUCAUCAUAAGAUUAGAGAACUAUAUGGCUAAAAACUAAGAGAGAUCUUUUUAGUCGAGAAAAGACUCAUUUUUAUUCGGUUGUUCAUUGGGAAAAGCCAAGAGUACGGAUUUGCCCCUUCGUUUUGAUUCCACUUAAAUACUUUUCCCAAUUUUAGGUCAAGGACAGAGUUCAAACUCCCCGUUAUGAUCCUAUUAAUCCCACUUGAAUACUUUCCUUGACUUUGGAUCAAGGAUAGAGUUCAAACUCGUGAUAUGCACAGUUCUUACUGUAAUUUUUCUAUUGAUUCUCCAACCAGUAAAAUGAAUUUUACUCAAACAUUAGUGAUAAUUUAAAUUCUAAAGGUUAGUAAACUUAUCCUAGAUCCACUGAUAGAUCAAUAGGUCAAUUUCUCUUAUUGCAAAUCCUUAACUUCACACAACAAGUGAAAAUAAUUUCAAAAUAUCAAUGCAAUAAGGUGAAGAAACUCCAAGCUAAAUCCACAAUAGCCCAGAAAAUUGAUUCCGAUGGAUAACCCAUGUAUGAAAUUAAAAAAACACCCAACUAAAAUAAAGAAACCCACAAAGUUAAUUUCGACGGAAAAAAGACCAAAUUAAUUACUGCAUGUGAAGAAACACAACAAAAAUCUGAAAUAGGAAUAACCAAGGAAACAUAGAACAGGGAAAGCAUAAUUACCUAGUCAAAAUUGAAAGCACAAGGAUUAAAAUUAUUGGGACUUCCAAAGCACAAGGAAAAUCGAACAUCAAUAACACACCCAAAUGGAAAAAGAGGCAAAUAUUAACACAACCAGAUCAAAUUUGGUGAAAGAGAGAUAAAUUGGAGAGAUUUCUGAACUUCAAUUUCAGGAAAACAAAGAUGAUACGGAAUAACUGAAUGAAAACACGAAAGAGACUUACCUGGAUAGACUGCUGAAGAAAGGAGAAAGAACUGUGAUGGGCAAAGAAUGGUGGAGUAUAAACUUAUGAAGACAAGUGAGGUGUAAAUUGGAAACACGGGAGAAAGACACGUAGUGAUAAUAGGGAAUUGAAAAGACGAAAAUAC
This 10774-nucleotide long non-coding RNA is filed under the name Solanum tuberosum (potato). RNAcentral describes it as "long non-coding RNA (STUB_LNC007313)". Lineage: Eukaryota; Viridiplantae; Streptophyta; Magnoliopsida; Solanales; Solanaceae. The record is from RNAcentral.